This is a long non-coding RNA of Stylophora pistillata, 337 nucleotides long. The record is from RefSeq and is a predicted model, not a curated record. NCBI's taxonomy places the organism in Eukaryota, Metazoa, Cnidaria, Anthozoa, Scleractinia, Pocilloporidae.
AGCUUGUAUUUUUGUGGCAGUAUCUAUUCACUAUUUCUAUCUGGCCGGAUUUUCUUGGAUGCUUAUGGAGGGAGCCUACUUGUAUCUCAUGGUGGUUAAAGUAUACAACGCCGUUGUAAGAAUGAAGUUACUCUACGCUUUCUCCUGGGGAUUUCCUCUUCUAAUGGUGACUUCAUCGAUUGUUAUCGCCUCUGGCUCUACUGAGGGAAUAUGGGGCUACGUACAUGGUGACUUAGCUCUAUCAGUAACAUUGCGAAAGGUUUCGAGGGAGUCUCAGUAAUAAAGAACUUGUCAAGUCCAUUCGUGCUUCAAAUUGACACUCAACGGUAAAUGACAC